This 212-nucleotide ribosomal RNA is filed under the name uncultured bacterium. RNAcentral describes it as "partial 16S ribosomal RNA". It matches the Rfam family "Bacterial small subunit ribosomal RNA", at positions 524 to 734 of the family's 1533-position model. The record is from RNAcentral.
GACAGGAGGUGCAACGUUGUUCGGAAUUACUGGGCGUAAAGCGCGUGUAGGCGGCCUGUAAGUCGGGUGGUGAAAUCCCACGGCUUAAACCCGGUGGAAGUCGCAUUCGAAACUACAGGGCUAGAGUUCUGGAGAGGAAGGUGGAAUGCUUGGUGUAGAGGUGAAAUUCGUAGAUAUCAAGCGAACACCGGUGGCGAAGGCGGCCUCUGGAC